Long non-coding RNA from Pan troglodytes (chimpanzee), 897 nucleotides. RefSeq lists it as uncharacterized. The record is from RefSeq and is a predicted model, not a curated record. Lineage: Eukaryota; Metazoa; Chordata; Mammalia; Primates; Hominidae. The transcript has 2 exons.
CUCCUUAGACUAUUCUCGCUCUUUACCUUUUAAAAUCUACUUUGGUGAGAGAAUUUGGAAUUUGGAAUUCACCACAUGGAAGAAUCUAAGAAACCUGCCUACUUAUCAGCACUACUUUGUUGUUCUUCACAAUUAGUUGGAGCUUUCUUUGGUCAACAGCAGAUGUGACUAAGAAAAUCACGCUGUUUCACUUAGAGCAGUGGGUCACCAAGUGUGGUCCUUAGGCCACACAGCUCAGCAUCACCUAGGAACUAGGAAAUGCAAGUUCUUAAGCAAUCCCACCCAGACCUACUGAAUUGGAAGUGCUGAGGAUGGGGUCCAGCAAUCUGUGGUUGAACAAGCUCUGCAGGCAUCCAGGAGCAGAGCUGUGGGGCAGCAGAAUCUGUGAUGACAGAGAAUGAUGAUGUAUUUUUGCCAGCAGAUGCUUUUGCUCCUGUUUUGAUACCCCAAUAUUCGGAUGCAGAAAAGGACUCUGAGCAUUGCUGAUGGGUGUGCUCUGCACACCUAUCUCUUCAGGAUCUGAAUAAUUUGGUGGAAAGACAAUGCCUUUUCUGGAAAAGGGUGUCAGGUCAGUCAUAUUGGAGGAUGCAAAUUUCCUUAUGUGAUGGGAGUGAGGGUUGGGGUAGGGCACUUCACGAAGCAUUCAGCAGUCUGCAAUUAAGCAUCACUCCAAGGCUUUCUGCAUAGGUGAUGGCUGUUUCUGCAUCAUGGGGCAAACCAGGUGCUAGAACUUCAAAUGCCAAUUACCAAAGGCGCUUCCUGUGGAGGAAACCUCUCUACAACUCACCUGACCCAGAAGGCACACAUUUUUUUCUGGGUUAACAUAAAUGCUAAAAUUGAAGAAAUGAAACAUUCUAAAGGCAGGAUCAUGUAGGUGAGAUCCUUUGCCUCCUAAGC